GGGACGAACGCUGGCGGCGCGCCUAACACAUGCAAGUCGAGCGAGAACCGGGGCUUCGGUCCCGGGGACAGCGGCGAACGGGUGCGUAACACGUGAGCAACCUGCCCCGAAGACCGGGACAACCCGAGGAAACUCGGACUAAUACCGGAUGCCCUCACCGGGCCGCAUGGUCUGGUGAGGAAAUGGAUUCCGCUUUGGGAUGGGCUCGCGGUCUAUCAGCUUGUUGGUGGGGUAACGGCCUACCAAGGCGACGACGGAUAGCUGGUCUGAGAGGACGAUCAGCCACACUGGGACUGAGACACGGCCCAGACUCCUACGGGAGGCAGCAGUGGGGAAUCUUGCGCAAUGGGGGAAACCCUGACGCAGCGACGCCGCGUGCGGGAUGAAGGCCUUCGGGUUGUAAACCGCUUUCAGCAGGGACGAAAUUGACGGUACCUGCAGAAGAAGGCCCGGCCAACUACGUGCCAGCAGCCGC
Molecule: ribosomal RNA, 475 nt
Filed under: uncultured bacterium
Lineage: Bacteria
Description: SSU rRNA
Rfam family: Bacterial small subunit ribosomal RNA
Source: RNAcentral